UACGUAGGGGGCGAGCGUUGUCCGGAAUGAUUGGGCGUAAAGGGCGCGUAGGCGGCUGAGCAAGUCUGGAGUGAAAGUCCUAUUUUCAAGGUAGGAAUUGCUUUGGAAACUGCUUAGCUUGAGUGCAGGAGAGGUUAUCGGAAUUCCCGGUGUAGCGGUGAAAUGCGUAGAGAUCGGGAGGAACACCAGUGGCGAAGGCGGGUAACUGGACUGCAACUGACGCUGAGGCGCGAAAGUGUGGGGAGCAAACAGG
RNAcentral lists this ribosomal RNA (253 nucleotides) under uncultured bacterium. RNAcentral's name for it is "partial 16S ribosomal RNA". It matches the Rfam family "Bacterial small subunit ribosomal RNA", at positions 524 to 776 of the family's 1533-position model. The record is from RNAcentral.